This 72-nucleotide transfer RNA is filed under the name Marmota monax (woodchuck). RNAcentral describes it as "tRNA.Ala". It matches the Rfam family "tRNA". From Rfam's summary of the family: Transfer RNA (tRNA) molecules are approximately 80 nucleotides in length. Their secondary structure includes four short double-helical elements and three loops (D, anti-codon, and T loops). Lineage: Eukaryota; Metazoa; Chordata; Mammalia; Rodentia; Sciuridae. The record is from RNAcentral.
AGGGGUGUAGCUUAGUGGUAGAGCAAGUACCCAGCAUGUACUUGCUCCUGGGUUCAGUCCCCAGUGCCAAAA